Non-coding RNA from Ciborinia camelliae, 95 nucleotides. The record is from the annotation of a GenBank genome assembly. NCBI's taxonomy places the organism in Eukaryota, Fungi, Ascomycota, Leotiomycetes, Helotiales, Sclerotiniaceae.
UCCCUCGUGGCGCAAUUGGCUAGCGCGUUCGACUGUUACUUGAAGCAAUUCAAUCGGCGAUCGAGAGGUUAGUGGUUCAAUCCCACUCGAGGGAG